CGGCGAGCGAAGCGGGAAGAGCUCAAAUUUAUAAUCUGGCACUUUCAGUGUCCGAGUUGUAAUCUCUAGAAGUGUUUUCCGCGUUGGACCGCACACAAGUCUGUUGGAAUACAGCGGCACAGUGGUGACACCCCCGUACACGGUGCGGACGCCCAGCGCUUUGUGAUACACUUUCGAAGAGUCGAGUUGUUUGGGAAUGCAGCUCAAAUUGGGUGGUAAAUUCCAUCUAAAGCUAAAUAUUGGCGAGAGACCGAUAGCGAACAAGUACCGUGAGGGAAAGAUGAAAAGCACUUUGGAAAGAGAGUUAACAGUACGUGAAAUUGUUGGAAGGGAAACGCUUGAAGUCAGACUUGCUUGCCGGAGCUUGCUUCGGUUUGCAGGCCAGCAUCAGUUUUCCGGGGUGGAUAAUGGCGGUUAGAAGGUAGCAGCUUCAGCUGUGUUAUAGCUUUCCGCUGGAUACAUCCUGGGGGACUGAGGAACGCAGCGUGCUUUUAGCGGGGGUUUCGACCUCUUCACGCUUAGGAUGCUGGUGUAAUGGCUUUAAACGACCC
This 551-nucleotide ribosomal RNA is filed under the name Rhodotorula paludigena. Its description in RNAcentral is "eukaryotic LSU rRNA". It matches the Rfam family "Eukaryotic large subunit ribosomal RNA", at positions 87 to 650 of the family's 3401-position model. Lineage: Eukaryota; Fungi; Basidiomycota; Microbotryomycetes; Sporidiobolales; Sporidiobolaceae. The record is from RNAcentral.